RNAcentral lists this ribosomal RNA (253 nucleotides) under uncultured bacterium. RNAcentral describes it as "partial 16S ribosomal RNA". It matches the Rfam family "Bacterial small subunit ribosomal RNA", at positions 524 to 776 of the family's 1533-position model. The record is from RNAcentral.
UACGUAGGGUGCGAGCGUUGUCCGGAAUUAUUGGGCGUAAAGAGCUUGUAGGCGGUCUGUCGCGUCUGCUGUGAAAAUCCGGGGCUCAACCCCGGACUUGCAGUGGGUACGGGCAGACUAGAGUGUGGUAGGGGAGACUGGAAUUCCUGGUGUAGCGGUGAAAUGCGCAGAUAUCAGGAGGAACACCGGUGGCGAAGGCGGGUCUCUGGGCCGUAACUGACGCUGAGGAGCGAAAGCAUGGGGAGCGAAUAGG